AUAGUAGCUAUAACAUUAGGAGCAUAUCUGGACAAAGAAUUAAAUCGAAGACUAUACUCCCUCACACUUGUAUUACCCUGUCGAAGAUUUAAGAACUGAUCCGCACGGGCCUGACGAGUCUCAUAUGGAAGAUAAUGAUCAAUAAAUGCCUCUUUGAACUCUUUCCAAGUAGCUGGGGGUGCAUCAAUGCCCCUUGACCGUUUCCAGUCUUCAUACCAAUAUAUAGCCUCACCUUUGAAUCUAUACG
This 247-nucleotide long non-coding RNA is filed under the name Capsicum annuum. RNAcentral describes it as "long non-coding RNA (CANN_LNC006517)". Lineage: Eukaryota; Viridiplantae; Streptophyta; Magnoliopsida; Solanales; Solanaceae. The record is from RNAcentral.